GACGAACGCUGGCGGCGCGCCUAACACAUGCAAGUCGAGCGGAGGUAAAUGGAGCUUGCUCUAUGAACCUUAGCAGCGAACGGGUGAGUAACACGUAGAUAAUCUGUCCUAUAUUGGGGGAUAGCCCGAUGAAAGUUGGAUUAAUACCGCAUACAGCUAUAUAGUUGCAUGAUUAUAUAGUGAAAGAUUUAUUGAUAUAGGAGGAGUCUGCGGCACAUUAGCUAGUAGGUGAGGUAAGAGCUUACCUAGGCGACGAUGUGUAGCCGGUCUGAGAGGAUGAACGGCCACAAUGGAACUGAGACACGGUCCAUACUCCUACGGGAGGCAGCAGUGGGGAAUAUUGCACAAUGGGGGAAACCCUGAUGCAGCAACGCCGCGUGAGUGAAGAAGGUUUUCGGAUUGUAAAGCUCUGUUAGCAGGGAAGAGGAAGGACGGUACCUGCAGAGGAAGCCACGGCUAACUACGUGCCAGCAGCCGCGGUAAUACGUAGGUGGCAAGCGUUGUUCGGAAUAACUGGGCGUAAAGGAUGCGUAGGCGGUUAAAUAAGUUAUAUGUUAAAUAUAUAGGCUUAACCUGUAGAAAGCAUAUAAAACUGUUUAACUAGAGUGCAGGAGAGGUAAGUGGAAUUCCUAGUGUAGCGGUGAAAUGCGUAGAGAUUAGGAAGAACACCAGUGGCGAAGGCGACUUACUGGACUGUAACUGACGCUGAGGCAUGAGAGCAUGGGGAGCAAAC
This 733-nucleotide ribosomal RNA is filed under the name uncultured bacterium. RNAcentral's name for it is "bacterial SSU rRNA". It matches the Rfam family "Bacterial small subunit ribosomal RNA", at positions 28 to 773 of the family's 1533-position model. The record is from RNAcentral.